UACAGAGGGUGCGAGCGUUAAUCGGAAUUACUGGGCGUAAAGGGUGCGUAGGUGGUUACUUAAGUUAGGUGUGAAAGUCCUGGGCUUAACCUGGGGAUUGCGCCUGAUACUGAAUAGCUAGAGUAUUGUAGAGGAAAGCGGAAUUUCCGGUGUAGCGGUGAAAUGCGUAGAUAUCGGAAGGAACAUCGGCGGCGAAGGCGGCUUUCUGGACAAAUACUGACACUGAGGCACGAAAGCAUGGGGAGCAAACAGG
RNAcentral lists this ribosomal RNA (253 nucleotides) under uncultured bacterium. RNAcentral describes it as "partial 16S ribosomal RNA". It matches the Rfam family "Bacterial small subunit ribosomal RNA", at positions 524 to 776 of the family's 1533-position model. The record is from RNAcentral.